This 407-nucleotide ribosomal RNA is filed under the name uncultured eukaryote. RNAcentral describes it as "bacterial SSU rRNA". It matches the Rfam family "Eukaryotic small subunit ribosomal RNA", at positions 592 to 1016 of the family's 1831-position model. The record is from RNAcentral.
CAAUAGCGUAUAUUUAAGUUGUUGCAGUUAAAAGCUCGUAGUUGGAUUUCGGAUGUGAACGACCGGUCCGCCGUUGCGGUGUGCACUGGACGUUUGUAUCUUGUUGUCGGGGACGCGCUCCUGACCUUAACUGGGAGGGACGCGGAGUCGGCGCUGUUACUUUGAAAAAUUGGAGUGUUCAAAGCUGAAUACAUUAGCAUGGAAUAACGCUAUAGGACUCUGGUCCUAUUGUGUUGGUCUUCGGGACCGGAGUAAUGAUUAAGAUGGACAGUUGGGGCAUUCGUAUUUCAUUGUCAUGAGGUGAAAUUCUUUAACUGGCUCAUGACGAACCACUGCGAAAGCAUUUGCCAAGAAUGUUUUUCAUUAAUCAAGAACGAAAGUCAGAGGGUCGAAGAUGAUCAGAUACC